This is a long non-coding RNA of Salvelinus sp. IW2-2015, 1552 nucleotides long. RefSeq lists it as uncharacterized. The record is from RefSeq and is a predicted model, not a curated record. NCBI's taxonomy places the organism in Eukaryota, Metazoa, Chordata, Actinopteri, Salmoniformes, Salmonidae.
GAUUGUACAGAAAAGCAUAAAGGUUUAUAUAAGAAACUCUAAAAUGUUAACCACAGUCAAGCCCAUCUCUAACACUGAUUCAAGUACCUAACAAUAYUUAGUCAGCACAGAGUCAAUUUAGUAUUUAAUUUAAACAAAAUGGCAUUUCACUCACAUUUACUGUACGAAACGCGACAGGAACAACUUUCACUAUGGUAACACUUUUCUGUAAAUCUGGUACCCUCACUUUGAUAAAAUGAAUUUUAGAAUACUUUGGAAAAGUAUUCAAUAUAACAUUACACACAGCUUCACUACUURAGGUCAAGUAAACAUGAAUUAAGGCACUAUCAUUAUUUKACUAUAAAACAUCAGCAUCAACCUAAAGGGACAUGUCCAGCAGCAGCUUGACCGCGGGGAUGACAUAAACACCCCUUUCCCCACCACAAUAUAAAUCUAAAGUAUAAAAUGUUUCCAUCUGCCAUGAAUUUGCCUUGAUCAGCCCGAGCUCUUAUCGCUGUAACACAAACCCUUGCGACAUCAUCAAAGUCGACAUGAUGUUGGUCCAGUUGACGACACCCGAAGCUGACUCUCAGCCGAUCAUGCCUUCACUCAACUGAGUUCGGCCCGAAAGGUGAACAAUGGUGGACAGAGAUGAUGCUGCUACCCCACGGUAAGAACCUGGAAAUCUUCAGAGGGAGAUGACGUGGCCACAAACAGUGCCUGGGACUCGUUCCAGUGCUACCGCUGACUAGAGAACAGCCAGGGUGUGGUCAAGACAACUUCAUCUURAGUGUGUCAGCUCUGCUGCACCUGGGAGCUAAAAGUUCUAAACGACCAUCAUCGAGUCCAUCKUCCAUCCUCAACCACUGCAACGAUUGGCCGGUCUGCUGAGAGGGUUAUUGGCUGCCACCUGCCCUCCAUUGAGGUCUCACAUGACUCCAGGGCAAGGAAGCAUGCAGAAAAGAUCAUUGCCGACCCCUUCCAACCUCUCUUCCAAGCGGUUCAGGUCAAUCACGACCAAACCCCACCUCCCCCCGCCGUGGCCCUCACCAACCGGCCAUCUGGUCCACCAUGAUUCUCUCAUCCACAGACUAUGCACCAUUAUCCAAUAACUGCACAUUGCUCUUUGCACAUCUCUUACGUGCAUAAUUUAUCAUGUAGCUUAUAGUUUAGUCUAAAGUUGUUUGUUUAAGGUGUUCAUAGUGUACAUACUGUAUGUGGAUUUGUGGAAAUUCUGCAUCUAUAUAUUUWGUCUGUUUAUGUUUAUUGUGGCAMCACCAUUUCAGAGUCAAGUUCCUGUACAUGCAAAAGUAUUUGGGGAAUAAAGCUGAUUCUGACAUGUUAACCUGAGUAUAGCUGGUUUAUCAUAUUCAUGUCAGUUUACAUUCUGUUAUUUGGGACUCGUCAUGUACUGUAUGAACUGUAGAAGGUAACAGAUUGUCCCCUUMGUGUCUUCAUAUAAUUCAAAAUCCCCAUGUGCCGUGUGUGUCCUUGGGCUUAGUACCCUAAAUAUUGGAUACUGCCUUAAAUUAGGGGACUCGUUUUUUUGCUAGAGCUGACUGCUUUCGUUUUA